CUUGAGGCGUGGCUUCCGGAGCUAACGCGUUAAAUCGACCGCCUGGGGAGUACGGCCGCAAGGUUAAAACUCAAAUGAAUUGACGGGGGCCCGCACAAGCGGUGGAGCAUGUGGUUUAAUUCGAUGCAACGCGAAGAACCUUACCUACUCUUGACAUCCAGAGAACUUUCCAGAGAUGGAUUGGUGCCUUCGGGAACUCUGAGACAGGUGCUGCAUGGCUGUCGUCAGCUCGUGUUGUGAAAUGUUGGGUUAAGUCCCGCAACGAGCGCAACCCUUAUCCUUUGUUGCCAGCGAUUCGGUCGGGAACUCAAAGGAGACUGCCGGUGAUAAACCGGAGGAAGGUGGGGAUGACGUCAAGUCAUCAUGGCCCUUACGAGUAGGGCUACACACGUGCUACAAUGGCGUAUACAAAGAGAAGCGACCUCGCGAGAGCAAGCGGACCUCAUAAAGUACGUCGUAGUCCGGAUUGGAGUCUGCAACUCGACUCCAUGAAGUCGGAAUCGCUAGUAAUCGUAGAUCAGAAUGCUACGGUGAAUACGUUCCCGGGCCUUGUACACACCGCCCGUCACACCAUGGGAGUGGGUUGCAAAAGAAGUAGG
RNAcentral lists this ribosomal RNA (599 nucleotides) under uncultured bacterium. RNAcentral describes it as "bacterial SSU rRNA". It matches the Rfam family "Bacterial small subunit ribosomal RNA", at positions 831 to 1430 of the family's 1533-position model. The record is from RNAcentral.